AGACCCGAAACCCGGUGAUCUAGCCAUGGGCAGGUUGAAGGUUGGGUAACACUAACUGGAGGACCGAACCGACUAAUGUUGAAAAAUUAGCGGAUGACCUGUGGCUGGGGGUGAAAGGCCAAUCAAACCGGGAGAUAGCUGGUUCUCCCCGAAAGCUAUUUAGGUAGCGCCUCGUGAAUUCAUCUCCGGGGGUAGAGCACUGUUUCGGCUAGGGGGCCAUCCCGGCUUACCAACCCGAUGCAAACUGCGAAUACCGGAGAAUGUUAUCACGGGAGACACACGGCGGGUGCUAACGUCCGUCGUGAAGAGGGAAACAACCCAGACCGCCAGCUAAGGUCCCAAAGUCAUGGUUAAGUGGGAAACGAUGUGGGAAGGCCCAGACAGCCAGGAUGUUGGCUUAGAAGCAGCCAUCAUUUAAAGAAAGCGUAAUAGCUCACUGGUCGAGUCGGCCUGCGCGGAAGAUGUAACGGGGCUAAACCAUGCACCGAAGCUGCGGCAGCGACGCUUAUGCGUUGUUGGGUAGGGGAGCGUUCUGUAAGCCUGUGAAGGUGUGUCGUGAGGCAUGCUGGAGGUAUCAGAAGUGCGAAUGCUGACAUAAGUAACGAUAAAGCGGGUGAAAAGCCCGCUCGCCGGAAGACCAAGGGUUCCUGUCCAACGUUAAUCGGGGCAGGGUGAGUCGACCCCUAAGGCGAGGCCGAAAGGCGUAGUCGAUGGGAAACGGGUUAAUAUUCCCGUACUUGGUGUUACUGCGAAGGGGGGACGGAGAAGGCUAUGUUGGCCGGGCGACGGUUGUCCCGGUUUAAGCGUGUAGGUGUGUGUUCCAGGUAAAUCCGGUUCACUUUAACACUGAGGCGUGAUGACGAGGCACUACGGUGCUGAAGUAACAAAUGCCCUGCUUCCAGGAAAAGCCUCUAAGCAUCAGGUAACAUCAAAUCGUACCCCAAACCGACACAGGUGGUCAGGUAGAGAAUACCAAGGCGCUUGAGAGAACUCGGGUGAAGGAACUAGGCAAAAUGGUGCCGUAACUUCGGGAGAAGGCACGCUGACACGUAGGUGAAGUGAUUUACUCACGGAGCUGAAGUCAGUCGAAGAUACCAGCUGG
Molecule: ribosomal RNA, 1102 nt
Filed under: Salmonella enterica
Lineage: Bacteria; Pseudomonadati; Pseudomonadota; Gammaproteobacteria; Enterobacterales; Enterobacteriaceae
Description: partial 23S ribosomal RNA
Rfam family: Bacterial large subunit ribosomal RNA
Source: RNAcentral